CGGGGUAUGGCGCAGUCCGGCUAGCGUACCUGCUUUGGGAGCAGGGGGUCGCAGGUUCGAAUCCUGCUACCCCGACAA
This 78-nucleotide transfer RNA is filed under the name Bacteroidetes bacterium 4572_112. RNAcentral describes it as "tRNA-Pro". It matches the Rfam family "tRNA". Rfam says of the family: Transfer RNA (tRNA) molecules are approximately 80 nucleotides in length. Their secondary structure includes four short double-helical elements and three loops (D, anti-codon, and T loops). Lineage: Bacteria; Pseudomonadati; Bacteroidota. The record is from RNAcentral. RNAcentral also lists the same sequence under 1 other name.